UCUGGCUGAGGAUAAUCGGGAAGCUGGUAGACCAUUCGUGGUUAGUCCAGCGCUGCCCCCGCAACGGUGAUUGGUGAGAUUUGUUAGUCGGCACUAAAUAAUUAGUGCUGACACCCACUGCGAAUAUAUUUCGUGGGAAGGGAAUGAAUCAGGUAUCAACUGAUACACACCAUAAGCCCGUAGACCGGCCAGAUGUUUUUU
This 201-nucleotide non-coding RNA is filed under the name marine eukaryotic metagenome. The record is from RNAcentral.